This 1360-nucleotide long non-coding RNA is filed under the name Gallus gallus (chicken). RNAcentral describes it as "lncRNA (ENSGALG00010004106.1)". Lineage: Eukaryota; Metazoa; Chordata; Aves; Galliformes; Phasianidae. The record is from RNAcentral.
UGAUCUUUGGAAAUCAAUCCAGGGAAACUCUUAGCAUGGGUUCUUACGUUGAAAAUGUGAGGCUUCUCAUGGUCUGGGGUUCAGGUGUUCUCAUCUGUCCAUAGAAUUCUUGAAGUCUUUGGUUGGUUGUUUUUCCUUUUUUUCUUUUUUCUUUUUUUUUUCUUUUUACCUUUACAACUCUUAUGGGAACCUUUCCUAACAUAAUGGUAAGUCUAUGUGAAGUUCUUUGUACAGCCAUGAAAGCCACAGGCAGAGGAUCCUAAUAGCAUUUGUUUUUCCUAGUCCAGUAUGUUGCACCCCAUGGCCUUGAAGCAAGAUAGCUUUACCAUCGAUGACAGGUUUGUUUGGGUUUAUAAAUACAUUACCAACAAGCUGCCAAGUAAAAUAAUACCUGGAUAUUUGAGGUUUCUCAGUUGAAAGUCACAGUUGUGGUGAAAUAGAAGUGUUAAUGCCUAGUUGUGAGUUUUCAGACAUUUAAGAGAAAUAUAACAUGCUAAUUACAUUGGACAUGCUAAAGCUGUAACAUGCUGAUGUGAUACCAGGAAUACAACGUUGACUAAUUAGUUGUCUUAAGUAAGGAUUGCUGCUAGAAUGUUGGUGUUUUCUGUGCCAAAUGAUAGCUUUGGUGGAGAGAAGUUGAAGCAAGUUUCAAACUUGGUUAAGCAGAAAAAAGAAGUACUGUUUUCUGUUAGCUUUGUGCAUUACAUUUUCGAGUUUCCUAUUUUAAUAAGGGUCUUUUCAUCAAUAUAAAGAGGGUGGAGAUGGUUCUACUUAACGGCUUUCUUCGUGAGAAUAUGGAAGAGUUUCAUGAGCUUGACACGUUCUGACAGGUUGGGUGCUUGAAAAUGUUAACUUGAAGUUCUAAUAUAAAGAAAAUGUUUGCCAAGUCUUCCAGAAAGACUCAGAAGUACGGCUUUUUCAGCCAUGUUUUCUCGGUCGCAAGAGAUUGUAGUUCAUUUAUAAGACUGAUAGUCAUAACACCAAGUGUUGGGGCCUUAAGAAGCAUCGAAAGGUGUUCUCCCAACUCACCCCACAUAUGUUUGGUUACAGCAGUGAUACUGGGUAAGCUUGUAAAAGAAAGGCUGUCGGUUGAUUUCCUUCUCUUAGUUUAUCAUGUUUUAGGGUGACCUUCUUCAGAAGUGGGAGAAAAAGCGUAUAACAUCUUAGAUGAACGUGGUCUUUUGGAGGGUGGAAAAAAGGUGAAAAGUAGAGAGAGUUUACUUAAGAAUUAUAUUUGAGUGUGUAUUUCUCUCAAAGAUGAGACGUUAGCAACUAGAGCAUACUUUAAGUGUUGCUUUUUAAAACUUUUGCCAUUACGUGGUACAGUGUACAGAGUUUUAAUGUUUCCAGUCUUUCUGAG